CGGUGUUUAACUGGCGUGAUGUGGGACGUCCUACCGGUGGGCUUAGCCUCGCGAGGGGCGGCCCAACUAAUAUCCCGUCGCGGUGCUCUUUACUGAGUGUCGAGUCGGGCCGGUACGUUUACUUUGAACAAAUUAGAGUGCUUAAAGCAGGCUAUCCUCGCCUGAAUACUGCGUGCAUGGAAUAAUGGAAUAGGACCUCGGUUCUAUUUUGUUGGUUUUCGGAACCCCGAGGUAAUGAUUAAUAGGGACAGAUGGGGGCAUUCGUAUUGCGACGUUAGAGGUGAAAUUCUUGGAUCGUCGCAAGACGGACAGAAGCGAAAGCAUUUGCCAAAAAUGUUUUCAUUAAUCAAGAACGAAAGUUAGAGGUUCGAAGGCGAUCAGAUACCGCCCUAGUUCUAACCAUAAACGAUGCCAGCUAGCGAUCCGCCGAAGUUCCUCCGAUGACUCGGCGGGCAGCUUCCGGGAAACCAAAGCUUUUGGGUUCCGGGGGAAGUAUGGUUGCAAAGCUGAAACUUAAAGGAAUUGACGGAAGGGCACCACCAGGAGUGGAGCCUGCGGCUCAAUUUGACUCAACACGGGAAACCUCACCAGGCCCAGACACCGGAAGGAUUGACAGAUUGAUAGCUCUUUCUUGAUUCGGUGGGUGGUGGUGCAUGGCCGUUCUUAGUUGGUGGAGCGAUUUGUCUGGUUAAUUCCGAUAACGAACGAGACUCUAGCCUGCUAAAUAGGCGUACCUUAUGGUAUCGCGAAGGCCCCCGGCUUCGGCCGGUGGGUUUUUACUACCAACGUACAAACAAAUCUUCUUAGAGGGACAGGCGG
This 819-nucleotide ribosomal RNA is filed under the name uncultured eukaryote. RNAcentral's name for it is "SSU rRNA". It matches the Rfam family "Eukaryotic small subunit ribosomal RNA", at positions 629 to 1426 of the family's 1831-position model. The record is from RNAcentral.